GAUGAACGCUAGCGGCAGGCUUAAUACAUGCAAGUCGAACGGUAAGAGAUGUAGCAAUACAUUUCCUAGAGUGACGUACGGGUGCGUAACACGUAUGCAACCUACCUGUAACAGGAGUAUAGCUCGGGGAAACUCGAAUUAACCCUCCAUAAGAUCGUGAAGUGGCAUCACUUAGCGCUUAAAACUGAGGUGGUUACAGAUGGGCAUGCGUCUGAUUAGUUAGUUGGCGGGGUAAUGGCCCACCAAGACGAUGAUCAGUAGGGGAACUGAGAGGUUGACUCCCCCACACUGGCACUGAGAUACGGGCCAGACUCCGUACGGGAGGCAGCAGUAGGGAAUAUUGGUCAAUGGGUGAGAGCCU
RNAcentral lists this ribosomal RNA (361 nucleotides) under uncultured bacterium. RNAcentral describes it as "bacterial SSU rRNA". It matches the Rfam family "Bacterial small subunit ribosomal RNA", at positions 28 to 384 of the family's 1533-position model. The record is from RNAcentral.